Molecule: small RNA, 399 nt
Filed under: Histoplasma capsulatum
Lineage: Eukaryota; Fungi; Ascomycota; Eurotiomycetes; Onygenales; Ajellomycetaceae
Also listed under: 1 other name
Description: hypothetical RNA
Source: RNAcentral
CGGAUAGGUUUGGAAGAAAUAAGCUGUCGAUUUAAGCUUCAUAUGCUUGAAAACGGUUCCAGGGUUCUCCUCCGCCCAUGCCGAGUCGUUGCCAUCGGGAACCAUGUGCAUCCCGAUUCAACGGCGACUUGGGUCAUCUACCUCGGAAGCGUGAAACGUACCUGAACGAUUGACAGUCUUUUUUCUUUACUUUCGUUACUUCCCAUCCCUUUUUUAGGAAAACAGAAGAUGCAGCAGGAUGUUUAUGUUCAUCGAACUUUUCUCAUUUCCCUUUUCAUUGUUGCUCCAACCACCAAGGAUGAAUGCAAUCUCUUAAACCAGCAAAUUCUUUGAUUCUAAGAUUAUCCUUUCGCCAUUGGACUUCAUCCACAAACCCCCUGGCUACGUUACAAAGACAAA